This 157-nucleotide ribosomal RNA is filed under the name Megaspora verrucosa. Its description in RNAcentral is "5.8S ribosomal RNA". It matches the Rfam family "5.8S ribosomal RNA". From Rfam's summary of the family: 5.8S ribosomal RNA (5.8S rRNA) is a component of the large subunit of the eukaryotic ribosome. It is transcribed by RNA polymerase I as part of the 45S precursor that also contains 18S and 28S rRNA. Functionally, it is thought that 5.8S rRNA may be involved in ribosome translocation. Lineage: Eukaryota; Fungi; Ascomycota; Lecanoromycetes; Pertusariales; Megasporaceae. The record is from RNAcentral.
AAAUUUUCAACAACGGAUCUCUUGGUUCCGGCAUCGAUGAAGAACGCAGCGAAAUGCGAUAAGUAAUGUGAAUUGCAGAAUUCAGUGAACCAUCGAAUCUUUGAACGCACAUUGCGCCCUCUGGUAUUCCGGAGGGCAUGCCUGUCCGAGCGUCAUU